RNAcentral lists this ribosomal RNA (441 nucleotides) under Triticum aestivum (bread wheat). Its description in RNAcentral is "partial small subunit ribosomal RNA". The record is from RNAcentral. Lineage: Eukaryota; Viridiplantae; Streptophyta; Magnoliopsida; Poales; Poaceae.
AUGGAGUCCCCGCAGAAGAAGGCUGGAUCCAUGGAUGGCACUGGCAGCGAGAAGACGCCUCUUCCCCAUCUGCUGCCGGUGACCGUGGCGAAGAAGACGCCUUGUCCGGAUGUUGUCCGAGAGGUCAGCGAGUGGGUGCUCGUGACCGCCUUCUCCUUCGCCUUCGCCUUCGUGUUCUCCUUCGGCUUGGCCUACGCACUCGAGCUCUUCCACGUCCAGUGCAGCCAGUCCUCCCUCUUUCUUCGGUGCGGCCUGCUGACGGACGCGGAGGAAGCUGUGAUGAACGCCCUAGGUAUCGGGAUGCUGUGCUGCGUCGCGCUCCAGGCGGCCGCAGCGGCGCUGCGCUGCGUCUCCAGUGCCGCCGUCGCUGGGUCCGCCGUGCCCUUGCCUACCUCGCGCUCGCGCUCACCAUCGGCGGCCACUGCUUCUACGCCGCGCUAG